Molecule: microRNA, 24 nt
Filed under: Lingula anatina
Lineage: Eukaryota; Metazoa; Brachiopoda; Lingulata; Lingulida; Lingulidae
Description: Lan-Mir-184_5p* (star (passenger))
Source: RNAcentral
CCUUAUCACUUCUUCUCGCCCGGU